Molecule: non-coding RNA, 218 nt
Filed under: Pseudomonas agarici
Lineage: Bacteria; Pseudomonadati; Pseudomonadota; Gammaproteobacteria; Pseudomonadales; Pseudomonadaceae
Description: sRNA regulator of biofilms A
Rfam family: sRNA regulator of biofilms A
About the family: Bacterial strain with deleted SrbA had reduced biofilm mass. However, the deletion of srbA had no effect on growth or antibiotic resistance in P. aeruginosa.
Source: Rfam by way of RNAcentral
AUCAAGGGCCCUGGCGAGGGCCUUCGGAUCGCAGCUCUAACCUAUCCCCUGAGCCGAUUCGGUCUGUACCGCCCAUCAGGCGCGUUUGACGAGGUUGCGACUGCAACGAAGUUGUCCCGAGGGACGGAAGCGUAAUAGAUACAACGGCAAGACCGGUGAAGCCCGCAUGAAGGCCCACAACGCCCCACUGCGCCCGCUGCAUCGCCUGCGCCUCGCUC